UGCAAAGGAGACAAGGUCCCCGAGCUCUUCGCCCGGCACGGUCGUGUUGUUUGGCUGGCCUGGGAGAGAGAUGAUGUUUAUUCAUGAGGUAUCUAUCUUCGCGAGCCCGCCUUCCCCCGUGCGAGGUCUCCUGGCGCGAUAUCUUUACACUCAGCUGGCCUUUCCUCCCUCCACAACCCUCCACUCCCGCCUUCUCUCUCUCUCCCCCUCCUGACAGUUACGCCAGUUUGUUCUCCCGCUCUGCUUGCUGUUAUUUAGCUAAAUAUUUUCCUGGCUUUUGCGCAAGGUGCUAAAAUAAAACUUAAAUCACAAUGUCUCUCUCUCUGUGUGCAUGCUAGUGUGUGUUUGUGUGUGUAGUGAGUGUAUGUUUGUGUGUGUUGGCGCACGUGCAUUGAGUGUCCGAGAGCAAGAGAUUUGAAAUUGAGUUGUGGAUGUACGGCCUUAUUACAACCAAAGAGACGACAUUGAUGAGUAGCGAUACAAACCGGAACUAAAAAAAAAAAAACCAAAACAACUACGAACAAGAAAAAUCAACAAUAAAACGCUUUGAAGGCCCGGUGCCUGCCAGGCGAUGGAGUGCUCUGUCAUCUGGUCAUGUUGUUGACGCAGUCGCCAGGUGUUGACAGGAUGUGGGGCGAGACACCUGUACAGUCUACGUCUGCAGUCGGGGACCGAUGACUGAGCUCGCAUCCUGACAUGUGUGUGUCUUCAAUUCGUCAACGCAGGGCAGAUGACACUAACGCAUGUGCCAACGACAGACGAAGAGCUGAGAAUGUCUGCCAGUCUCCACACAAGCUCUGAAUGUGUUCCGUCCUGUCUUCACUCAAGUCUUCGACGGCAGAGAGAAACAUUCUGGAGAUGGUUUGCGCUUCUCGUUUCCUUUCGAACAAGAUUCCUUCUCCAGUGUAAAUAAUCAUUGUGACACUUAAAAUGCUUUGAACUCUUAACUAGGAUGUACUAAG
Long non-coding RNA from Pomacea canaliculata, 962 nucleotides. RefSeq lists it as uncharacterized. The transcript has 3 exons. Lineage: Eukaryota; Metazoa; Mollusca; Gastropoda; Architaenioglossa; Ampullariidae. The record is from RefSeq and is a predicted model, not a curated record.